UUGGAAACGCAGCACAGCUCUGGAAUGGCGCAUUCCUGUGGUGCCACACGCAAUUGCUGCAACCACCUCGUGUAGCUACAUAUGAUCUGAAAUUUGCUUGACAUGAGAGGUAUUGGAUAAGGACUUGAAAACUGCCUUUGCAGUCUUUCUCUUCUGUGCCGCACUGAGACACUUCUGCAGCCUGCGAUUUCUCUUGGUUUAAGCAGUAUUUAUCAAAUGGAAACAUAUGUAUACAGUAGAUUGUACUUGGAAAUGCAGUUCACUUACACAAUUCUUGUCAACACAGGAUGCUCAUGAGCACACUUCUGAGAAGGAUGAAAUAUCCGCCUUUGUCAAGAUGCAAGGUUUUGAACAGAGAAUAUCUCCCAGGCAUGUUUAGAUAUGCUGGAUGAAUGAGCAGAUAAUCAAAUGGCAGAAACAUAACAACAGUAUAAACAGAAAUGACCAAAGUUAACUGCUGAGUCUUUUC
Molecule: long non-coding RNA, 469 nt
Organism: Pseudopipra pipra
Lineage: Eukaryota; Metazoa; Chordata; Aves; Passeriformes; Pipridae
Exons: 4
Source: RefSeq, a predicted model, not a curated record